This 342-nucleotide ribosomal RNA is filed under the name uncultured Anoxybacillus sp. RNAcentral's name for it is "bacterial SSU rRNA". It matches the Rfam family "Bacterial small subunit ribosomal RNA", at positions 1040 to 1382 of the family's 1533-position model. The record is from RNAcentral. Lineage: Bacteria; Bacillati; Bacillota; Bacilli; Caryophanales; Anoxybacillaceae.
GGUGCAUGGUUGUCGUCAGCUCGUGUCGUGAGAUGUUGGGUUAAGUCCCGCAACGAGCGCAACCCUCGACCUUAGUUGCCAGCAUUCAGUUGGGCACUCUAAGGUGACUGCCGGCUAAAAGUCGGAGGAAGGUGGGGAUGACGUCAAAUCAUCAUGCCCCUUAUGACCUGGGCUACACACGUGCUACAAUGGGCGGUACAAAGGGUCGCGAACCCGCGAGGGGGAGCCAAUCCCAAAAAGCCGCUCUCAGUUCGGAUUGCAGGCUGCAACUCGCCUGCAUGAAGCCGGAAUCGCUAGUAAUCGCGGAUCAGCAUGCCGCGGUCGAAUACGUUCCCGGGCCUU